AUGAAUGAUCUACGUCAAUAUACGUAUAGGGCACGUUUUAAUGGAUUCCAAGUUUUAUCGGUGUGGGGGAUUGCUGGUGUUGGGAAAUCAGCUAUCCUCACAUGCUUGUUCUGCGACAGAAUUCUCGAGAAAACGAGGAGGACGCAUUUUGACAAGUAUGCUUGGGUGGAUGUAUCGUAUCCAUUCAAUUUGAGGGACUUUUCUCGGAGUUUACUACUCAACUUCCACUCCCAGCAUCUGCAAGCCCCAAAUGAACAUGAUAUUGACACGGUUACCAGGAAGAACGAAUCAUCCCCUUUAAAAAAUCAUGACCCAACUAUGGAGGUUCAGCUUCACAAACUUAUUCUGAAGUGCGGAGGUCUUCCCCAAGUGAUAAUUGCUAUUGCUGGCUUAUUGGCCUCACUGAAGCCUGACACAACUCCCCUCGCAAAAGGAGAAAAAAAGGCUGACACAUUCAAGGAUACUGUUCAUUAUUUGAACGAUGAAUUUAUGCAUCAUAUGGAGGGUAACCCGGAGUUUGUUAGUCUGCGGGGUCUCUUUAGCUGGAUGAACUCCGUCAUACUUAAUCCCCCAGAUUUCCUCAAGCCAUGUAUCUUUUACCUCAAGAUUUUUCCUCCAAACUGUCACAUUCGUCGGAGACGGCUCAUAAGGCGGUGGAUCGCAGAGGGCUAUUCAAGAGAAUUAUUGGAAAAACAUGCUGAAGAGAAUGCCGAGAAGUCCUUCACACAGCUCCUAGAAAUGAGCAUAUUCCAGCAGGUACAACAACUAAAUGGCACAAUACAGAAUGACACGAGGAUGGCUGUUUACCAGAUUCAUGGUUUCAUUGGAGAGUACAUCGUAUCACGGCGAAUGGAAGAGAACCUUGUGUUUGAACUGGGGGGCAGGAGCUCCGUCUUAACCAGCCAAAGCACAGGGCGUCACCUUGUCAUAUCAACAAGCUGGGACAGAGAUAGAAUUGUGUUCGAGAGCAUCGACUUCUCACGGCUACGGUCGCUGACAGUGUUUGGCAAGUGGGAAUCAUUCCUCAUCUAUGAAAGCAUGAAGAUGCUUCGGGUGCUUGAUCUAGAGGAUGCAUCAGGUAGUGUUGAGUAUGAAGAUCUUGAGAAGAUGGUGAAAUUUCUGCGUCGCCUCAAGUUCCUCUCACUGCGAGGACGGCGUGAGAUCAACCGCCUACCAAGCUCACUAGACCAUCUGAGACAGCUACAGACUCUGGAUGUAAGGCACACCUCCAUAGCCACCCUGCCGGAGAGCAUUACCAAGUUGCAUAAGCUACAAUACAUACGUGCCGGCAGCACUGACGUCCCGGCGUCAGCAGCACCACCACUUGCUUCAUCCAGCUGGUUCUGCAGACGCCUUCCCAUUGUCGGUGUUGUGAUGCCUAGAGGGAUUGGAAAACUGACGGCGUUGCACACGCUUGGUGUUGUCGACGUCGAUGCUUCAGGGUCAAAGACCUUUGUGAAAGAUCUCGAGAAGCUCACCCAAUUACGCAAGCUCGCAGUGUCUGGCAUCAACAGGAAGAACAGCAAGGAGUUUUUCUCUGCAAUAAAAGGUCAUGUAAAUCUGGAGUCCUUGUCAGUGCAGCUUGACAAGGAAACCUAA
Molecule: ribosomal RNA, 1599 nt
Filed under: Triticum aestivum (bread wheat)
Lineage: Eukaryota; Viridiplantae; Streptophyta; Magnoliopsida; Poales; Poaceae
Description: partial small subunit ribosomal RNA
Source: RNAcentral